This 509-nucleotide ribosomal RNA is filed under the name uncultured bacterium. RNAcentral's name for it is "partial 16S ribosomal RNA". It matches the Rfam family "Bacterial small subunit ribosomal RNA", at positions 28 to 523 of the family's 1533-position model. The record is from RNAcentral.
GACGAACGCUGGCGGUGUGCUUAACACAUGCAAGUGGAGCGACGAACCAGGGCUUGCCCUGGGGCAGAGCCGCGAACGGGUGAGUAACACGUGGGGAACCUACCCCGAUGACCGGGACAACCCGAGGAAACUCGGGCUAAUACCGGAUGUGCUCUCCUCACAUCAGUGAGAUGAGUAAAGGAAGCUUCGGCCUCCGCACCGGGAGGGCCCCGCGGCCCAUUAGCUUGUGUGUGGGGUAAUGGCCUACCAAGGCUGCGAUGGGUAGCUGGUCUGAGAGGACGAUCAGCCACACUGGGACUGAGACACGGCCCAGACUCCUACGGGAGGCAGCAGUGGGGAAUCUUGCGCAAUGCGCGAAAGCGUGACGCAGCAACACCGCGUGGGGGAAGACGGCCUUCGGGUUGUAAACCCCUUUCAGGAGGGACGAAGGCCGGCCGGUGAAUAGCCGUGCCGGUUGACGGUACCUCCACAAGAAGCCCCGGCUAACUACGUGCCAGCCGCCGCAGUAA